This 256-nucleotide ribosomal RNA is filed under the name uncultured bacterium. Its description in RNAcentral is "partial 16S ribosomal RNA". It matches the Rfam family "Bacterial small subunit ribosomal RNA", at positions 524 to 776 of the family's 1533-position model. The record is from RNAcentral.
UACGUAGGUGGCAAGCGUUGUCCGGAUUUACUGGGCGUAAAGAGCGCGCAGGCGGUCGAUCAAGUCGCGUGUGAAAGCCCCCGGCUCAACUGGGGAGGGUCACGCGAUACUGAUCGACUCGAAGGGCAGGAGAGGGUAGUGGAAUUCCCCGGUGUAGUGGUGAAAUGCGUAGAUAUCGGGAGGAACACCAGUGGCGAAGGCGACUACCUGGCCUGUUUCUUGACGCUGAGGCGCGAAAGCUAGGGGAGCAAACGGG